AUUGAACGCUGGCGGCAUGCCUAACACAUGCAAGUCGAACGCGAAAUCACCUUCGGGUGAAAGUAGAGUGGCGGACGGGUGAGUAACGCGUGGGAAUCUGCCCAGUAGUGGGGGAUAACUCGAGGAAACUCGAGCUAAUACCGCAUACGCCCCAUGGGGGAAAGGCUUCGGCCGCUAUUGGAUGAGCCCGCGUCAGAUUAGCUAGUUGGUAGGGUAAAGGCCUACCAAGGCGACGAUCUGUAGCUGGUCUGAGAGGACGAACAGCCACACUGAGACUGAGACACGGCCCAGACUCCUACGGGAGGCAGCAGUGGGGAAUAUUGGACAAUGGGCGAAAGCCUGAUCCAGCAAUGCCGCGUGUGUGAAGAAGGCCUGCGGGUUGUAAAGCACUUUCAGUGGGAAGAUGAUGACGUACCAACAGAA
RNAcentral lists this ribosomal RNA (423 nucleotides) under uncultured bacterium. RNAcentral describes it as "bacterial SSU rRNA". It matches the Rfam family "Bacterial small subunit ribosomal RNA", at positions 30 to 486 of the family's 1533-position model. The record is from RNAcentral.